This is a small nucleolar RNA of Pseudophryne corroboree (corroboree frog), 136 nucleotides long. RefSeq annotates it as small nucleolar RNA SNORA51. The record is from RefSeq and is a predicted model, not a curated record. Lineage: Eukaryota; Metazoa; Chordata; Amphibia; Anura; Myobatrachidae. The transcript has a single exon.
AUCCUCCCAAUGCUUACCACAGACAAUGUUGUCCUUCCCGCUGUCUGUAUAGAAAGAGGAGGUAGAGUAGUAAUAUCUCCGUCUACACCACAGCUCCACGGUGUGCAGGGGCUGUAUUGUUAUCGGGGGUACAGAC